GGAGUCUAGCAUGUGCGCGAGUCAUUGGGACUCGAGCGAAACCUAAAGGCGAAAUGAAAGUGAACGUCCGCCUUAGCGCGGACGUAGGGAGGAUGGGUCGUGCGCGCGUUUUCGGCGGCGGCCCCGCACUCCCGGGGCGUCUCGUUCUCAUAGCGAGAAGAGGCGCAUCUAGAGCGUACACGCUGGGACCCGAAAGAUGGUGAACUAUGCCUGGUCAGGACGAAGUCAGGGGAAACCCUGAUGGAGGUCCGUAGCGAUUCUGACGUGCAAAUCGAUCGUCGGAACUGGGUAUAGGGGCGAAAGACUAAUCGAACCAUCUAGUAGCUGGUUCCCUCCGAAGUUUCCCUCAGGAUAGCUGGCGCUCGCUUUCGCGAGUCUCAUCCGGUAAAGCGAAUGAUUAGAGGCAUUGGGGUCGAAACGGCCUCAACCUAUUCUCAAACUUUAAAUGGGUGAGAACUCCGGCUUGCUCGAACUAGAAGCCGCGAGUUAUGUUUUGCACGUUUGCAAUUUGUUGUUGACGUUGUUGAUCACGGAUCAGAGUGCCAAGUGGGCCACUUUUGGUAAGCAGAACUGGCGCUGUGGGAUGAACCAAACGCAGAGUUAAAGCGCCUAAAUCGACGCUCAUGGGAUACCAUGAAAGGCGUUGGUAACUUAAGACAGCAGGACGGUGGCCAUGGAA
Molecule: ribosomal RNA, 679 nt
Filed under: Agrilus sp. UPOL RK0783
Lineage: Eukaryota; Metazoa; Arthropoda; Insecta; Coleoptera; Buprestidae
Description: eukaryotic LSU rRNA
Rfam family: Eukaryotic large subunit ribosomal RNA
Source: RNAcentral